RNAcentral lists this ribosomal RNA (253 nucleotides) under uncultured bacterium. RNAcentral describes it as "partial 16S ribosomal RNA". It matches the Rfam family "Bacterial small subunit ribosomal RNA", at positions 524 to 776 of the family's 1533-position model. The record is from RNAcentral.
UACGUAGGGGGCAAGCGUUGUCCGGAUUUAUUGGGCGUAAAGCGUCUGUAGGUGGUUUACUAAGUCAACUGUUAAAUCUUGAGGCUCAACCUCAAAAUCGCAGUCGAAACUAUUAGGCUAGAGUAUAGUAGGGGUAAAGGGAAUUUCCAGUGGAGCGGUGAAAUGCGUAGAGAUUGGAAAGAACACCGAUGGCGAAGGCACUUUACUGGGCUAUUACUAACACUCAGAGACGAAAGCUAGGGUAGCAAAUGGG